RNAcentral lists this ribosomal RNA (429 nucleotides) under Calcinus pulcher. RNAcentral's name for it is "partial 16S ribosomal RNA". It matches the Rfam family "Archaeal large subunit ribosomal RNA", at positions 1994 to 2616 of the family's 2987-position model. Lineage: Eukaryota; Metazoa; Arthropoda; Malacostraca; Decapoda; Diogenidae. The record is from RNAcentral.
UGAAUUUUGAAGGGCCGCGGUAUUUCUGACCGUGCGAAGGUAGCAUAAUCACUAGUCUUUUAAUUUGAGGCUUGUAUGAAUGGUCGGACGAGGGAUAAGCUGUUUUCAAGUAAAAAAUUCGAAUUUAACCUUUGAGUGAAAAGGCUUAAAUGUUUCAAAAAGACGAUAAGACCCUAUAAAUCUUAACAUUAAUUGCCAUGGUAUUCUAAAUUAUUAGUUCAAAGAAAACGAUAAAUAUAGUGUUAUGUUGGGGCAACAAAGAUAUAAAAAAUUUAACUGUUUUAAUAAAUUGACAAUCAUCAUUGACACUUCAAUAGAUCCUUUUUAUAGAUUUAAAGAUUAAGUUACUUUAGGGAUAACAGCGUUAUUCUUUUUAAGAGUCCCCAUCGAAAAAAGAGUUUGCGACCUCGAUGUUGAAUUAGAAGAUCU